GCGUGAAUGACGAAGGUCUUAGGAUUGUAAAGUUCUUUUAGUGGGGAAGAUAAUGACGGUACCCACAGAAAAAGCUCCGGCUAACUCCGUGCCAGCAGCCGCGGUAAUACGGAGGGAGCUAGCGUUGUUCGGAAUUAUUGGGCGUAAAGCGCGUGUAGGCGGUUUAGUAAGUUGGAAGUGAAAUCCCAAGGCUUAACCUUGGAACUGCUUCCAAAACUGCUAGGCUAGAGUAUGCAAGAGGGUGACGGAAUUCCUAGUGUAGAGGUGAAAUUCUU
RNAcentral lists this ribosomal RNA (275 nucleotides) under uncultured bacterium. RNAcentral's name for it is "partial 16S ribosomal RNA". It matches the Rfam family "Bacterial small subunit ribosomal RNA", at positions 399 to 691 of the family's 1533-position model. The record is from RNAcentral.